Anopheles arabiensis is the source of this 854-nucleotide long non-coding RNA. RefSeq lists it as uncharacterized. Lineage: Eukaryota; Metazoa; Arthropoda; Insecta; Diptera; Culicidae. The transcript is spliced from 4 exons. The record is from RefSeq and is a predicted model, not a curated record.
GCAUUGUUUGCCGGGUUUUUUAAUAAUUAAGUUCUUAAUUUUACGUAAGUAAGUGCCAUUUUAGUAAGUGGUAGAAGUCCUGCCCAAUGCGUGCUGGCUCCGUCGGAAGCGGUUCGUGCAUGUACCGGCGUAGGAAAGUGGUGUGGUGAAUAACACAGCACAAGACAGCGGAUAUAAUGCAGAAACAAUAUGGGCCUGCCGCAGGUGUUUGCGACUGUGCGUUGUGUAUGAUCGUGUAUGAUUCGCCAAUUUUACUCUAUCCUGGAACGAGGAACCAUUUAAGAACAUCCUCCGGAAGCUGUACGGCGAAGAGUCGGGCUCUACCAGCACAACACCCAGCCGGCACCGGGUGCCCCGAUUGCGCCGUGAGACGGUGUCGAGCGCUCGUUCACAACGUUCGGGACAGAAAUUCAACCCUUCGAAUCAUUAUCCUCUGCCUCACAAUAGCUGCAGCAGCAACAGGACUGAACCGACCGCACUACUGAUUGCGGUCAAAUACUGAUUGCGGUCCUGGCAGGAGAAAAAACCCCACGAGUCAACUGCGAUCGAACAGGCUGCUGACGAAAAUUCGAAAAGGCGACAAACAUUCAUCCCCAGCGGCCUACGAUGUUCUUAGUGUUCAGUGGUGUGCGCGACCGUCGAAGUGUUAACAUUAAAAAUUUGAAUUAACAAGAUAAGACUAUUAUGGUGAUGUCGUGUAGAUGUGCGCAAGUGGGUUAAGAUUAGACUUAAGUACGAUUUAAGGCAUAAAUCGAUAUGCCUAAUUUUAAGUUAAGUGUUUUGACAAGCGCGUGUGUGUCAAGGGGCGGAAUAAGCGCUAAGCAAAUUAAGCGGCCGCGUCGGGCCCCGUGGUC